GUCAAGUCAUAGUUUAUCAGAAGAAAAGUCAUUUUUUAUUGUGUCCAAAAGUGUUGUUGCUUUAUUUUGAAUUUAGAAACAAAAUUAGCUCUUUUUUCAAAGAACCAGUUUUGGCGUCAGGAAUAGUGGAAAAUGUGAUAUUUUAAGGGUCCUGAGGUAUAAAAUGCCUCUUUAGCGCAAUGAGGCCUGAAGCUGAGUACGAUGCUCUGGACCAGAAACCAGACCGGAGGAAGGAGGACCAGCUGGUCAAACUGACCCAGCUGGACCUCAUUAAAGAGAAGGACAGAGAACCAGAACCUGCAACAAGGCUUUAGAGGACCAGACCCCCAGAGACCUGCCCCUGAAAGAACAAAGCCCCAGAAUAAAAGCCUCGGACAGGAAGUCGGAGAAGGAGCGGUUGGACGUGAAAUUAAAAGAUAUGGAGGACGAGAAGAUGCAGCAGGAAGGAAGCAGUGAAGGAUAAAAACUGGCUUCAUCUGUUUAGCGCAGGUUUCUGUGGAUGGAGGUUACACCUGAUGGAGGUCACACCUGAUGGAGGUUACAUCUGAUGGAGGUUACACCUGAUGGAGGUUACACCUGAUGGAGGUUAUACCUGACGGAGGUUAUACCUCCACUGGUCCUGCUGUACUACUCUCAGUAUUUGAAUGAUUUCUGUCGUAUAAUUUCAACGAGCUGUUCAUCUUUCAAGUUGUUCAUUGUGAGCAAAUCUACUUCCUGCUGAUCUCCUUCGGGUUUCUUUCAGUUAAAAUAUUGAUUCCCUUGAACACAAAUAAUGUGCAGAAGAAUCAUCAAGUGACGAUGAGGGAGAUGGAAUCCAGAUUCUAGUGACUCAGAGCCAUGUUUUGUUACAGAACUGAAAAGGUUCCAAAUCUAUCCACAGAUUCCGAUUUAGAUCAAUAAAUGUAAACUAACUUGUACGUGUUGUAUUUUCUGUUUAAAGACAUUUAAAAGAAAAUUGAUUCAAAGACGUUCACGCAGGACACAGGAAGGUGGAGGAGGCAGGUAAUCAGUAUUUAAAAUGUCUAUAAGUUGCUUCUGGGCUAAAUUCAGUAACGCUGAC
This is a long non-coding RNA of Gasterosteus aculeatus aculeatus (three-spined stickleback), 1060 nucleotides long. Lineage: Eukaryota; Metazoa; Chordata; Actinopteri; Perciformes; Gasterosteidae. The record is from Ensembl.